Molecule: ribosomal RNA, 247 nt
Filed under: uncultured bacterium
Lineage: Bacteria
Description: partial 16S ribosomal RNA
Rfam family: Bacterial small subunit ribosomal RNA
Source: RNAcentral
AUACGUAGGGGGCGAGCGUUGUCCGGAAUUACUGGGCGUAAAGGGUGCGUAGGCGGCGAUGCAAGUCCAUUGUGAAAAGCCCGGGCUCAACCUGGGAGGUGCAGUGGAAACUGUAUGGCUUGAGUGCAGGAGAGGAAAGUGGAAUUCCUAGUGUAGCGGUGAAAUGCGUAGAUAUUAGGAGGAACACCAGUGGCGAAGGUGACUUACUGGACUGUAACUGACGCUGAGUCACGAAAGCGUGGGUAGC